GCAUUGGUAGCUCAGUGGUUAAAUUCUUGCCUUUCAUGCGGGAGACCCAGGUUCAAUUCCUGGCCAGUGCA
Molecule: non-coding RNA, 71 nt
Organism: Trichechus manatus latirostris (Florida manatee)
Lineage: Eukaryota; Metazoa; Chordata; Mammalia; Sirenia; Trichechidae
Source: the annotation of a RefSeq genome assembly